UCAAAACAGCUACGAAAUUUGGCCAAAAUUAAAGUUAAAUCUCCUUCUCAGUCCAUCCCUCACUCUUAUCUUUCUCUCUCCGUCGAAAGCUUCGAGAAAUCUCAAACCAUUACCAGCUCCUCCGCCAAAAUCAAGUCACUCUCUGUCUCCGAGAUCACACCCCCUCAGCUCUCCAACCUCUCAAUUGUCAAAUCCGCCUCCACCUUUUCCUUCGCCUCCGCCUUCGCCAGUGAGCCAUCGGAGGCGGAGCUCCAUAAGUUCGGUGUCUCCGACGAUAUCAGAGCCUUUGUCAAGGGACUCACUUCCGAAUUUUUUGAUUCGGUUCUUCAAAUGCGCACCGUUUCGAUCGAAUAGUCGACUCUCUAAUCCUUGAUGCUCUGCACUUCGCUCCUCGCAGCUUAUCGAUGGCGUAGGAUUUGAUUAAAUUUGCGAUCACCAGGGAUAUUAAAACAGUGAUCAAGAGUUUGUCUGUGAUGGCAAAGACGACUCUUCCAGUGGUGAGGAAAACACAGAGACCCAGCAAAGCUUCGUAGAGAGGAAGCAUCAGUUUCCUGAAAUGGUAAAUAUCUAUUAUUUUUUUGUCAGGUCAACACCCAGAAACGUAAUUUUGACUUUCAUAGGUCCAUUUGUAAACUUGUAUUGAUAUUUAUAAUGUCAGAGUUGAUCUUUCCCUAUUGAAAGUUUUGAGCUUGAAUGAUGGAAUGUGUGAGCUUCCACUUUAAAUUUCUAUGGCUGGUGACAAGCAAAUGCUUUUCAUGAGCUGUUUUAGGAGUAAUAUAGGACAUUUGAGCUUUGGUAGUGACAGAAUGUGGAAGCUGUGCAAUGAAAUUUGCAAAUUUGUGAAGAGUUUACAUGUUCUAUUCCUGUUUAGAAACAAACUUUAACUUCAUACUUAUCUGGUGUUUAAUGGAGGAAUCAAAUAUAUAGACGAGCAUGUAUGUAUUCAACUAUAUUUAAUUGGAUACUUAGUGAUGCAUUUACUUACAUAGUAGCAGCAGCUCUUCUACAAGAGUUAUUUUGACCUUUUCCCCCUGGGUUUUUUUCGUUCUUCUUGAGUAUUUCUUAGAAGGUUGUGGCACUUAAAAUUUUGUAUUUGAUUUCUAUUUUUCAGUGUAUUUCGCCUGGUCUUUGUUAUUCCUUGGCCUCUAGAGUUUGAAUCUCAAAUUAUUGAAAUAAAUAUGUGAAUCAUGGCUUGUUCCAGGAGUUGAUCGUCCGAGAAUUUUCAUUUCAUCAGCUGAAUGCCAAUUUACUCUGGCCGGGGACAUUUGCAUUUGCAUAAUGGUUAAUUCAAAACAGGCCAUUGAUUGAGGGACGACAUUGUAUUGAACUGGCCAGGUAUUUCUCAAAGCUUUGACAUCCAUUUGUUAGUGGAAUCAUCCACUCCUGGCCAGGCAUAGACAAUAAUACUUGAAUGCAUUAUUUUUUUCUCUUGCUUUGACCUCGGGGCUCCCAAGUAAUAAUCGCAUUAUGUUAAUACUAUCUUUUUAAAUAUAUGGUAUACCUUCAUUUUGUUGUUUGUAAGAUGAAGUUUUGUUUACCUGCCGGUAGUUCGACUGAUUUCUCAGGAAAACCUUUGCAAAGAUGUAUGCAAUGUCUUCUCAUGAACCCUAGAUACAGAGUGUAACAUUACUGUUUUCUGUUUUCUACUUCUUUUCUACUUCUUUGUCUGUGAUGGCGUAGAUGGCCCCUGUGUUCGCAAAUUCAAUCAAGGUACAAGAGUUUCUGUACUUCAUUUAUGAGUUAACUGAUGGUCUUGUAUACAGUUCAGAUCUUAAUUAGAAGAUUAGAUGACUGCAAAAUUGGAGCUCCAUAAUCUUUUAAAGGAGAGCUCCAACUUCAAUGGGGAAACAAGAGGCAUCCGUAAGUGUUGAAUUUAUCAUGAAGAUCCAAGUAAAGCUGUUCUUUUAAGACACAAGAUGUAUUUGAAGUGGAAUGUGGCAAUGUGCAGUGAACGGUUGAGGCAAUCCACCCCAAUGGCUUUACACUACCACUUUAGGUUCAUUUUAUUUGUAUUGGUUUUGCUAUAAGCUUCAUUUGUUAUUGCUUCCACAACAUUUGUUUGUAUACUGCUCAAUUUUUUAUACAAGUGAAUGUUCUCUUAUGAAAUUGCAACAA
This is a long non-coding RNA of Rosa rugosa (rugosa rose), 2115 nucleotides long. RefSeq lists it as uncharacterized. The record is from RefSeq and is a predicted model, not a curated record. The transcript is spliced from 4 exons. NCBI's taxonomy places the organism in Eukaryota, Viridiplantae, Streptophyta, Magnoliopsida, Rosales, Rosaceae.